GUCCAACAUUAUACUGCGUAAUGUGGGCCUCUGGGGGAGCGUGUGCGUGUGCGUGUGCGUGUUUGGCAGCGCCGUGCUGAAUUCUAACGAGGCGCGAUGACUCUUAACAGAUUCUAAAACAUCAACAAGAGACGCUUUCUCUCCCGGUGGGAACAAACACGCAGGUGCGUCUCGGCCCACUCGCGGGAACAAAAAGUUGGCCCUGCAGAGUUGGAUUUGCCGUUUUGGGGAGAUCUGCAUUCAGUCUAAGUGACGAGGUGUUUUCAGUGGGCGUCGUUGAAUGUCGAGGGGUCAAGUUCAAAGUUCACCAAGCAACAGCAGCACUUGUGUUUUUUUUAUUCAUGCCGAUUCAGAAACAUUGACAUUCAGCUCAUCUCGCGGCUUGCAGGAAGGGUGCAUUCAACUGAAACGCUGCAAAUAUCCAAAUGUGUGCAAGCGACACAGUGAAGAGAUGCACGGCCAUUAAAACGAAUCUAAUGGCCGCUGGCAAACAAAAAAUGGGAGCUCCGACUUGUUCUCCUUCACACGGAGGAAGACUUUUCAGGCAUAAAUCUUCUGACUGCUGGACGCGCUUGUGUGAGACGCACAUUGGAUGCUGAUUGGCUCCACGUGAGCUGUGACGUCACAGACCCAUCGCGUUGAACUCAGAUUCGCACGUUCUGCACAGCGACGGUGGAACGUCCGCAACAACACGCA
Molecule: long non-coding RNA, 696 nt
Organism: Gasterosteus aculeatus aculeatus (three-spined stickleback)
Lineage: Eukaryota; Metazoa; Chordata; Actinopteri; Perciformes; Gasterosteidae
Source: Ensembl